Molecule: ribosomal RNA, 511 nt
Filed under: uncultured fungus
Lineage: Eukaryota; Fungi
Description: SSU rRNA
Rfam family: Eukaryotic small subunit ribosomal RNA
Source: RNAcentral
AGCAGCCGCGGUAAUUCCAGCUCCAAUAGCGUAUAUUAAAGUUGUUGCAGUUAAAAAGCUCGUAGUUGAAUUUCGGGGUCAGCAGGUUGGUCGUGCCACUGGUAUGCACUGGCCUUGCUGAUUCCUCCCUCUUGAUGAGCCGUAAUGCCAUUAAUUUGGUGUUGCGGGGAAUCAGGACUGUUACUUUGAAAAAAUUAGAGUGUUUAAAGCAGGCAAGCGCUUGAAUACAUUAGCAUGGAAUAAUGAAAUAGGACGUUCGAUCCUAUUUUGUUGGUUUCUAGGAUUGACGUAAUGAUUAAUAGGGAUAGUUGGGGGCAUUAGUAUUCAAUUGUCAGAGGUGAAAUUCUUGGAUUUAUUGAAGACUAACUACUGCGAAAGCAUUUGCCAAGGAUGUUUUCAUUAAUCAAGAACGAAAGUUAGGGGAUCGAAGACGAUCAGAUACCGUCGUAGUCUUAACCAUAAACUAUGCCGACUAGGGAUCGGAUGAUGUUAAUUUUUUAAUGACUCAUUC